GAUGGGAAACAGGUUAAUAUUCCUGUACUUGGUGUUACUGCGAAGGGGGGACGGAGAAGGCUAGGCUAGCCGGGCGACGGUUGUCCCGGUUUAAGCGUGUAGGGGGUGUGACCUGGUAAAUCCGGUUGCAUGUUAACCCUGAGGCGUGAUGACGAUGCACUACGGUGCAGAAGUAGUUGAUGCCCUGCUUCCAGGAAAAUCCUCUAAGCUCCAGGUAACAUUAAAUCGUACCCCAAACCGACACAGGUGGUCAGGUAGAGAAUACCAAGGCGCUUGAGAGAACUCGGGUGAAGGAACUAGGCAAAAUGGUGCCGUAACUUCGGGAGA
This 327-nucleotide ribosomal RNA is filed under the name Serratia marcescens. Its description in RNAcentral is "bacterial LSU rRNA". It matches the Rfam family "Bacterial large subunit ribosomal RNA", at positions 1417 to 1743 of the family's 2925-position model. Lineage: Bacteria; Pseudomonadati; Pseudomonadota; Gammaproteobacteria; Enterobacterales; Yersiniaceae. The record is from RNAcentral.